Molecule: ribosomal RNA, 723 nt
Filed under: uncultured Fusobacteriota bacterium
Lineage: Bacteria; Fusobacteriati; Fusobacteriota
Description: bacterial SSU rRNA
Rfam family: Bacterial small subunit ribosomal RNA
Source: RNAcentral
AUGAACGCUGACAGAAUGCUUAACACAUGCAAGUCGACUCGAGUCUUCGGACUUGGGUGGCGCACGGGUGAGUAACGCGUAAAGAACUUGCCUCUUAGACCGGGACAACAUCUGGAGACGGAUGCUAAUACCGGAUAUUAUGGUUUUUUCGCAUGGAGGAAUCAUGAAAGCUAGAUGCGCUAAGAGAGAGCUUUGCGUCCCAUUAGCUGGUUGGUGAGGUAACGGCCCACCAAGGCAAUGAUGGGUAGCCGGCCUGAGAGGGUGAACGGCCACAAGGGGACUGAGACACGGCCCUUACUCCUACGGGAGGCAGCAGUGGGGAAUAUUGGACAAUGGACCGCAAGUCUGAUCCAGCAAUUCUGUGUGCACGAUGACGUUUUUCGGAAUGUAAAGUGCUUUCAGUCGGGAAGAAGUCAGUGACGGUACCGACAGAAGAAGCGACGGCUAAAUACGUGCCAGCAGCCGCGGUAAUACGUAUGUCGCAAGCGUUAUCCGGAUUUAUUGGGCGUAAAGCGCGUCUAGGCGGCAAGGAAAGUCUGAUGUGAAAAUGCGGAGCUCAACUCCGUAUGGCGUUGGAAACUGCCUUACUAGAGUACUGGAGAGGUAGGCGGAACUACAAGUGUAGAGGUGAAAUUCGUAGAUAUUUGUAGGAAUGCCGAUGGGGAAGCCAGCCUACUGGACAGAUACUGACGCUAAAGCGCGAAAGCGUGGGUAGCAAACAGG